Molecule: long non-coding RNA, 1920 nt
Filed under: Stegodyphus dumicola
Lineage: Eukaryota; Metazoa; Arthropoda; Arachnida; Araneae; Eresidae
Description: uncharacterized LOC118191934
Source: RNAcentral
AUCAAGUUCACACUCGUUUCUUGGGCUCAGAGUUCUGUUGGGGAAAACGAACCUUUACACAAUGGAAGAGAAAUGUGUGCCUCCAUAAGAAUACAGAUAAAAGUCUGAGAAUUUUCUGGAAAACAAUCGGAAAAGAAAACAUUGAUUCCAUCUAAGGAACGAAAACGUAAGCGAAUGGAGCUAACAAUGAAGGUUUUUAAAAUAUAAAGGUUCGGCUGGAAGGAUACAGAAGAGUCACCAACGUAAGAUGAAAUUUUGUGUGAAGAGGCUACAAAAGUAUCGGAAUGUGGAAACCAAUUAAAUUUUUUAUAAAAUCCAUUUGAGAACUUAAAGAUUAAAGUUUUCUUCUUCAGGGGGUAUAGUGACAUUAGCUAUAGUUGAGGUUUACAAACAAUUUGCACUUUUUUCUGUACAUAUCAGUUUCGUCAUUGACUCUCUCUUUCCAGAAUAUUUAUACAAAUUUGAAUGGCAAACAACUUAGUAGUUUGUCCCUCACAAGUAAUAAAGUAGGAUAAAUGUUAGGUGUUUAUAUUUGUAUGAUUUCAGAAAUUAUUAAGAUAAUAGUGAUAACUCAGCAAUUAGAUCCGACGUCGGCAACGUUUUUGGAUGCGGGGCAGAACAAAAUGCAUGUAAGACGUUUCGGGUUAGUGAAAAUUUCAUUUUAGAACAGUUUUUCUUAGUGAAUAUUAAGAUAAAUUUUACCAAGCACAUAAUUACAACACGUUUUAAAUUUUAAACAUUAAAAGUAUAGUUCUAAUGAUUAUAAAAAUUAACUUAAUAAACUUUUACUUUUCUCUCUGAUAUCAAUGGCUUUCCUGAUGUUGAACUUGUUACGUCAAUUAAGUGAAGUUUGGAUUAUGUAAUAGUUAGUCAUCUUAAGACGACUACAAGCAUCUGAAUUUUCUAUAAUUAAGCUGCUCCUGUUUUCACUUCAAAUAAAUUUCACGCGUGAAAAUAUUUUCUCACAUUUAUUAGUAGAACCAAAUGCGGACAAAAUGACAAAGCCAUUUUUUAAAUUAUGGAUUAUGGAUUGGUGUUGUCAAACGUAACGAUUUCCUCUUGAAUUUUUUUUUAUUUUUUAAAAAUAAAAAUAAUGCUUGUUACUACAACUUUGUUAUCAAAGAAAAAUGUUAUAAUUAUUAUUUAUUACCGAACUUUUUAUGUGUUCAUAAAGUGGUCGUUUCAUAUGGAUGUUCUAUAAUUAAUUUUUAUGUAUCAUGCUUUAUUUUCGGAAUUCAAGUGGGUUUCUUGAAACUGUGAAAUGGGUCACUUGGUGACUCGUAGGUCAUAGGUUGCCGAGGCCUGAAUUAGAUAAUACGUAAUAUUUGAGAGUAGGAUUUGAAUUUGAAAUAAUUAAGAAGUAGAGAUAAGUGUUACAAACUGAAUCUUCGAACCUUUUUUCCGUUUGUUGAUUUAAUGAUUAGUUACGUCUGCGAAGAAAUAAUUUUGAAAGUUUAUCUUCUCUCUGUGUACUCCUGACACUAGUCAUCUUGUAAUUAACUGAUAUUUUGUUUUUUUACUAGAGAAAUCGAGUUAAAAGUAAAACUCACUUUUCUCUCCCGUAGUGUUAUGUUUUCAAAACUGAGAAACAGCGAAUUACGAAACUGACAUCACAUUCAGUAAAUUCAGAUGUACACUUUUUCUGCUGCGAUCCAGAGAUACUGUUACCACAACUCAGUCCGCUGGUGGAAAUCAGUGAAUACGGAUAAGCCUUCCUAGCGUGCCUUCGUGGUGUAGUGGUUCUGCAUACUGGGCCGGUAUUCCAGAGGUUCGUGGUUAGAUUUCCGGCGAAAACGUUGCCUAUUUUUCAUCUUUCCUGCCUCCAAAAAAUACCUAAUGUCUCUACAAACUGAUGUUAACCCAAGGUUACUAUUUGCUUAAUAUGUAGAAUUCGUGUAAUAAAGGUGCCUGUGUUUGAGA